Molecule: non-coding RNA, 21 nt
Organism: Caenorhabditis elegans
Lineage: Eukaryota; Metazoa; Nematoda; Chromadorea; Rhabditida; Rhabditidae
Source: Ensembl
CUUAACAAUUGGUUUCUCCAA